GAUUUCUGGCCUGGUGUGCCUGGCCCGCCAGCGUUAGCUGUGUGAGUGUCGGGACGCGCCUGCCAUCCUUCUAGAGAACAUAUUUACCUUUCAUUAGGCCGAAUAUGCCAUCUAGAUCUUUUACUUUGAAAAAAUUAGAGUGUUUAAAGCAGGCUUUUGCUAUGAAUACAUUAGCAUGGAAUAAUAAUUUAGGACUUUGGUCUUAUUUUGUUGGUUUCUAGGACUAAAGUAAUGAUUGAUAGGGACAGUUGGGGGUGCUAGUAUUCAGCGGCCAGAGGUGAAAUUCUUGGAUUCGCUGAAGACUAACUUAUGCGAAAGCAUU
RNAcentral lists this ribosomal RNA (322 nucleotides) under Cercozoa sp. RNAcentral's name for it is "SSU rRNA". The stretch from base 54 to 322 matches the Rfam family "Eukaryotic small subunit ribosomal RNA", at positions 685 to 955 of the family's 1831-position model. The record is from RNAcentral. Lineage: Eukaryota; Cercozoa.